Molecule: RNA transcript, 1145 nt
Organism: Eutrema salsugineum
Lineage: Eukaryota; Viridiplantae; Streptophyta; Magnoliopsida; Brassicales; Brassicaceae
Gene name: alanine--tRNA ligase, chloroplastic/mitochondrial-like
Exons: 5
Source: RefSeq, a predicted model, not a curated record
AGUCAUACUUUUAGAACCUGUAUCAUAAGAUUAUCGUCGGCUACGUGGCAGCUUCUGAUUCCUUGUUAGUAAAAUGUGGGAAAAAUCUGUUUUUCACCGACGAUUUGGUUCACUGCUGGCAAUAAUCUUCCACAGCAAAUCGGAGACACGGUGGCUGGAGAUCUUCAAAUCUAUGGCUCGAGAAAUUGCUUUCUGGUGAGAGUGGAAUCAGUUUGAUUGAUCGAUUUGAGGCCUCCAAGUGUCUGAAUCUCUUAGUUUUGGAUUGAUUCUGAAAAAGAAAGUGGAUGUGAAGGAUGUGGCUGCGGAGAUUGGGGUCAAUCCUGAUGCUUUGAGUGCCAAAUUUAUGGUUCGUGUAUUAGAAGUUCCUGGUGUCUCAAUGGAACUUUGUGGUGGCACUCAUGUUGGCAAUACUGCAGAAAUACUAGCCUUCAAUAUAAUAUCGGAACAGGGGAUUGCAUUUGGAAUCAGGCGUAUCGAAGCGGUUGCAGGUGAAGCAUUUUUUUGAAUACAUAAACUCACGGGAUUCUCAAAUGAAACGUCGAUGCUCAACUCUCAAGGUAUUCUGCUUUUAGAGUGUUUUCUUUUCCAUGUUUGAAGAUGUGUGUAACUGACAAAAAAACAAGCUACCUAGAUAGAUAAAAAAAAUGCCUCCAUCGUAUAACAUAAUUUAAGGUAGUUGUUGUUACUUUUGCCAUAACCUCUUGUUAUUUGAUUUAAUCUGAAGGUGAAAGUAGAGGAUGUUACUAACAGAGUGGAUAAUCUUCUAGAGGAACUGCGUGCUGCUAGAAAACAAGCAUGGAAAAUGGUCGUUUUCGUGGAGCUUUUUCCAAGUCGAUUUUCUGUUCUCACACCUCAGGCUUUGAAGGUUUGCUUCUCAGAUACAUUGCUUUGAUGCUACAAGAUUGAAAAAGGAAGACAUGAUUGUCACUAACUCCAUCACGUAUUGCUCCUUGGGUGUUGGAUAUGGUCAAAGAAAGCUUGUAAAUAAUGAAGAAGGCAUUGCAGAGGAAAAGAAUGACAGUGUAAACUCUUUUCUUUUUUUCCUUACAUACUUUUAUCUUCAUUUGUUAUCAAGUUAGUUUGUAAAGAAAAAAGUGAUGGGGUUCAGGGUUGGAUUAAAAAAAAGUUAUGAGGUUCUUAACUAU